UAAGCGCAAGCGGUAGGAGAGCGUUCUAUUUGCGUCGAAGGUAUACCGGCAAGGAGUGCUGGAGCGGAUAGAAGUGAGCAUGCAGGCAUGAGUAGCGAUAAUUAAUGUGAGAAUCAUUAACGCCGUAAACCCAAGGUUUCCUACGCGAUGCUCGUCAUCGUAGGGUUAGUCGGGUCCUAAGCUGAGUCCGAAAGGGGUAAGCGAUGGAAAAUAGGUUAAUAUUCCUAUACCAACAUUAGUGUGCGAUGGAAGGACGCUUAGGGCUAGGGGGGCUAGCGGAUGGAAGUGCUAGUCUAAGGUUGUAGGUGCUUACACAGGCAAAUCCGUGUGAGAAUACACCGAGAACUCAAAGGCUUUUCAAAGUCUUCGGAUAGCGAGAAGAACCCCUGAUGCCGUCGAGCCAAGAAAAGUUUCUAAGUUUAGCUAAUGUUGCCCGUACCGUAAACCGACACAGGUGGGUGGGAUGAGUAUUCUAAGGCGCGUGGAAGAACUCUCUUUAAGGAACUCUGCAAAAUAGCACCGUAUCUUCGGUAUAAGGUGUGCCUCCCUUUGUAUUAGAAUUUACUUCGAAAGCAAAGAAGGUUACAACAAAGAGUCCCUCCCGACUGUUUACCAAAAACACAGCACUCUGCUAACUCGCAAGAGGAUGUAUAGGGUGUGACGCCUGCCCGGUGCUCGAAGGUUAAUUGAUGGGGUUAGCAUUAGCGAAGCUCUUGAUCGAAGCCCGAGUAAACGGCGGCCGUAACUAUAACGGUCCUAAGGUAGCGAAAUUCCUUGUCGGUUAAAUACCGACCUGCAUGAAUGGCGUAACGAGAUGGGAGCUGUCUCAAAGAGGGAUCCAGUGAAAUUGUAGUGGAGGUGAAAAUUCCUCCUACCCGCGGCAAGACGGAAAGACCCCGUGGACCUUUACUACAGCUUGACACUGCUACUUGGAUAAGAAUGUGCAGGAUAGGUGGGAGGCUUUGAGUAUAUGACGCCAGUUGUAUAUGAGCCAUUGUUGAGAUACCACUCUUUCUUAUUUGGGUAGCUAACCAGCUUGAGUUAUCCUCAAGUGGGACAAUGUCUGGUGGGUAGUUUGACUGGGGCGGUCGCCUCCCAAAUAAUAACGGAGGCUUACAAAGGUUGGCUCAAAACGGUUGGAAAUCGUUUGUAGAGUAUAAAGGUAUAAGCCAGCUUAACUGCAAGACAUACAAGUCAAGCAGGGACGAAAGUCGGUCUUAGUGAUCCGGUGGUUCUGUGUGGAAGGGCCAUCGCUCAAAGGAUAAAAGGUACCCCGGGGAUAACAGGCUGAUCUCCCCCAAGAGCUCACAUCGACGGGGAGGUUUGGCACCUCGAUGUCGGCUCAUCGCAUCCUGGGGCUGGAGCAGGUCCCAAGGGUAUGGCUGUUCGCCAUUUAAAGCGGUACGCGAGCUGGGUUCAGAACGUCGUGAGACAGUUCGGUCCCUAUCUGCCGUGGGCGUAAGAAGAUUGAAGAGAUUUGACCCUAGUACGAGAGGACCGGGUUGAACAAACCACUGGUGUAGCUGUUGUUCUGCCAAGAGCAUCGCAGCGUAGCUAAGUUUGGAAAGGAUAAACGCUGAAAGCAUCUAAGCGUGAAGCCAACUCUAAGAUGAAUCUUCUCUAAGCUCUCUAGAAGACGACUAGUUUGAUAGGCUGGGUGUGUAAUAGAUGAAAGUCUUUUAGCUGACCAGUACUAAUAGAGCGUUUGGCUUACUUU
RNAcentral lists this ribosomal RNA (1717 nucleotides) under Campylobacter helveticus. Its description in RNAcentral is "bacterial LSU rRNA". It matches the Rfam family "Bacterial large subunit ribosomal RNA", at positions 1216 to 2925 of the family's 2925-position model. The record is from RNAcentral. Lineage: Bacteria; Pseudomonadati; Campylobacterota; Epsilonproteobacteria; Campylobacterales; Campylobacteraceae.